GCGUGCAUGGAGGAGGGGGCGGGGAUCCCUCAACUGGGAAGGAAGGCUUCCCGUUGCCUAACUGAGAGAUCCCUGCCCCUUCCUGCUUGCACGCAAGCUCUGAUAAGCAGCAUGAAGCCUCCCUUCACAGCUGAGAGAUCCUUGCCCCCUCCUGCUUGCACGC
This is a non-coding RNA of Podarcis lilfordi (Lilford's wall lizard), 163 nucleotides long. Lineage: Eukaryota; Metazoa; Chordata; Lepidosauria; Squamata; Lacertidae. The record is from the annotation of a GenBank genome assembly.